GCCAGCCUUGGAUUCAGUUAUCAGCACUGAACACAGAUCACUCACCAUGGAGUGGGGGCUGAGCUGGGUUUUCCUUGUUGCUAUUUUAAAAGGUGUUCAGUGUGAGGUGCAGGUGGUGGAGUCUGGGGGAGGCUUGGUGAAGCCUGGAGGGUCCCUGAAACUCUCCUGUGCAGCCUCUGGAUUCACAUUCGAUGAUUACAGCAUGUACUGGGUCCGCCAGGCUCCAGGGAAAGGACUGGAGUGGCUCUCAUACAUUAGUUAUGAUGGUGGUAGCACAAGUUAUGCAGACUCCGUGAAGGGCAGAUUCACCAUCUCCAGAGACAAUAACAAGAAUACACUGUAUCUGCAAAUGAACAGCCUGAGAGCCGAGGACACCGCCACGUAUUACUGUGCAAAAGACACAGUGUGCGAACUUCAGUGUGAGCCCAGGCACAAACCUCCCUGCAGGGAUGCGCACAACCAGCAGGGGGCGCGCAGGACACACUGA
This is a non-coding RNA of Castor canadensis (American beaver), 487 nucleotides long. The record is from the annotation of a RefSeq genome assembly. Lineage: Eukaryota; Metazoa; Chordata; Mammalia; Rodentia; Castoridae.